AUUGAACGCUGGCGGCAUGCUUUACACAUGCAAGUCGAGCGGCAGCGCGGGGGCAACCCUGGCGGCGAGCGGCGAACGGGUGAGUAAUGCAUCGGAACGUAUCCUCGAGUGGGGGAUAACCCAGCGAAAGUUGGGCUAAUACCGCAUGAGCUCUGAGGAGGAAAGCGGGGGACCUGCGAGGGCCUCGCGCUGGAGGAGCGGCCGAUGUCCGAUUAGCUAGUUGGUGGGGUAAAGGCUUACCAAGGCGACGAUCGGUAGCUGGUCUGAGAGGAUGAUCAGCCCCACUGGGACUGAGACACGGCCCAGCCUCCUACGGGAGGCAGCAGUGGGGAAUUUUGGACAAUGGGGGCAACCCUGAUCCAGCCAUGCCGCGUGAGUGAAGAAGGCCUUCGGGUUGUAAAGCUCUUUCGGACGGAACGAAAUGGGCGGGACUAAUACUCCUGUCUGAUGACGGUACCGUAAGAAGAAGCACCGGCUAACUACGUG
RNAcentral lists this ribosomal RNA (486 nucleotides) under uncultured bacterium. Its description in RNAcentral is "partial 16S ribosomal RNA". It matches the Rfam family "Bacterial small subunit ribosomal RNA", at positions 29 to 507 of the family's 1533-position model. The record is from RNAcentral.